AAACACAUCUCUGAGGAGUAUACAGCAAUUCUGUUCCCCAGGAGCCUAGACAAAAACAGAAUCUUGCGGAAGUCUUGGACAAUGUGUCUCAGACCGCACUAGAACAUGUGACUUGUGCAAAACUCUAUAGAGUUUAGUAGCACCUCUCUCUGUGGCACUGAUGGCAAGCAUGAUAAUUUUAGUGUCAGCUUCCUCACUGGGACUACAGAGCAACUCCACUGAACACUGCGAGGUGGUAGCUUCAUUAUACAAUGCAACGACUGAAGUCUUUGAGCAAUUCUUCAUAUGCUGGAGCAUUUUUCCUGCAAGGUUUCUGGCUUACCACAGAAGCAUAUGUUCUGCUUGAAAUGCAUGCCGUGUGACCUAGUAUAAGAGAUGGAGAAACAGACACUGAGUGGCUGAUUUUUCAGAGGUGCUGAGCACUUACUGUUAUAAGAGCACUGAAAGAAGUGGGUACUAGAUGGGUGGCAUACAAAAAUGGAUGUCUCUGACCUUAACCUCAGGGGAGCGUGUUAUGCCAAGAGGUAGAGGGAGAAGAACACGCAAUCCUUUACCUCAGCUGGAAAUUGUUCGGCCGGGAAGUUAUGUACUCAAUAAUAGAGAAGGAGGCCUUGGCAGUAAUAUGGACUAUUGAAGCACUCUGCUACUACUUAUGAGGACAGACAUUCCAUCUCGUGACGGAUCAUGCACCUCUGUGAUGGCUGAACACCAUGAAACGCCAUAACCCGUGGAUUAUAAACGGGUACCUCAAUGCAGCUGUACAAGUUUGAGGUACUACAGUGAGCAGGACGUGAUCAUAAGAACAUGGGAGUUCUUUUCGUGGGACGGAGGAGACCCGUCUGCACAGACUCCAGUGCCCAGCCUGAGGGGGAGAGUAUGUGAUGAGGUUGUUUACAGACCCGACACUAGGGUUAAAGGAGUACUGGAACAGUAUUGGGCCAAGCAGGCCCUGACCUUCUGCAGCUGCUGGGCAUGCUUCCUAUCCUAUGGAGGACCUGCUUAAAAGGGAGGCACGCAGGAGAGUGAAGGAGAGACGGGCAGACAGUGACAACUGAAACAGAGCAGUCUGCAGGGGAAGGACUGGGACUGAGAGUAAGACUUGGCUGGGGCCCUGCCCUUUUUUUUCCCCUUCUCCCUGAAUAGUAGGAUCAACUGGACUCUGAGUGAGCUGGGAAGCCUCCACUUGGGGCUCUGAAUUACUGAGACUGUGCAAGAAGAAAGCUGGGGCCACGCCACAAGCUGAAGGAAAAACUGCCAGGAAAGGUAAGGAGGCGGCUGGGAAGGCCAAUUUGGAGCGGCACCCCCAAGGACUGAACCACCCCUCGCCUCUCUCCCACUGGGCCAGAAUCAAGUGGAAAGGGAGGGCCAGGUCCCCCUAAAGAUCUCUCCUCCCACUGUCUGCCUGAGAGAGCCUAGAGCACUCCGGGUUGGGGGUGGGCUUUGUGACGAACUGGGACUUGGCUGCCAGGCUACCCAAACGGCCUGGAAGAGCUAUUCCAACACUCAGAGAGACUAUUUGGCCAUGGCCUGAGCACUAGGCCUCAAAGUGAAACCCACUACAGUGAGAUUUAAAACAAGAGAACCAGUAGGAGGAGGAGAGCAGUCCCCUGACUGCUAUAGGAGUGGUAAGAAACUGCUUCUGGACUGACUGCACUGCACCAUGGAAGGGAAUCCCAGCACUGUGGUGUGACCCUACAAGCCCUAAUGUGGCAUGGAGGGAUGAGGUGAACAGGGUGGGCUGAGCACACGUAUGGCAGAAAGGGUAGGCAGAACUGCACAGGGCAGUUAGAAGUACUCCAUGCUCAGCACAAAGAGCCAGGACCUGCACCCUCAAUUCCUGCUGUAAAAAGGGGACUGUUGGGGGAGAGAGGGACUGUG
This is a long non-coding RNA of Caretta caretta (loggerhead turtle), 1878 nucleotides long. RefSeq lists it as uncharacterized. Lineage: Eukaryota; Metazoa; Chordata; Testudines; Cheloniidae. The record is from RefSeq and is a predicted model, not a curated record.